Molecule: non-coding RNA, 158 nt
Filed under: Rhodobacteraceae bacterium HLUCCA08
Lineage: Bacteria; Pseudomonadati; Pseudomonadota; Alphaproteobacteria; Rhodobacterales; Paracoccaceae
Description: 6S RNA
Rfam family: 6S / SsrS RNA
About the family: E. coli 6S RNA was the first non coding RNA to be sequenced, but its function was unknown until recently. It consists of 184 nucleotides that fold into an extended hairpin structure with a large single-stranded internal bulge. The 6S RNA specifically associates with RNA polymerase holoenzyme containing the sigma70 specificity factor.
Source: RNAcentral
GGGCUUCUGCUCUUCUCGUGUGCACAGGCACAUUCCGGUGGCCUUAAAUAUCUCCGAGGGAGCUGGCUCUGACCGGAUCCUGGUCCGGUUACCUGGCGCCCACCUGUACAUGCAGGUCCUCGGGAAUCCAUGCCUUUCACGGUCGCUGCGGGGCCCGU